ACCAGCUUGGCAAAGUGGUUUGAGUGUUGGACUAUGACUCCGGAGACCAGGGUUCGAUUCCCAGCUUGGGCA
Molecule: non-coding RNA, 72 nt
Organism: Phrynosoma platyrhinos (Desert horned lizard)
Lineage: Eukaryota; Metazoa; Chordata; Lepidosauria; Squamata; Phrynosomatidae
Source: the annotation of a GenBank genome assembly